This is a non-coding RNA of Picea glauca (white spruce), 105 nucleotides long. The record is from Rfam. Lineage: Eukaryota; Viridiplantae; Streptophyta; Pinopsida; Pinales; Pinaceae.
GGUAGGUGAGGAGAGGUAAGCCCUCGCACUUUUGCGAGAAGGGUGUCCGCCCCAAUAUUACCUUGUUACGGUUAAUGGGCACUCCCCAUAUACCAUUCUGAUACC